GACGAACGCUGGCGGCGUGCCUAAUACAUGCAAGUUGAGCGCUGAAGGUUGGUACUUGUCCCGACUGGAUGAGCAGCGAACGGGUGAGUAACGCGUGGGGAAUCUGCCUUUGAGCGGGGGACAACAUUUGGAAACGAAUGCUAAUACCGCAUAAAAACUUUAAACACAAGUUUUAAGUUUGAAAGAUGCAAUUGCAUCACUCAAAGAUGAUCCCGCGUUGUAUUAGCUAGUUGGUGAGGUAAAGGCUCACCAAGGCGAUGAUACAUAGCCGACCUGAGAGGGUGAUCGGCCACAUUGGGACUGAGACACGGCCCAAACUCCUACGGGAGGCAGCAGUAGGGAAUCUUCGGCAAUGGACGAAAGUCUGACCGAGCAACGCCGCGUGAGUGAAGAAGGUUUUCGGAUCGGAAAACUCUGUUGGUAGAGAAGAACGUUGGUGAGAGUGGAAAGCUCAUCAAGUGACGGUAACUACCCAGAAAGGGACGGCUAACUACGUG
Molecule: ribosomal RNA, 497 nt
Filed under: uncultured bacterium
Lineage: Bacteria
Description: partial 16S ribosomal RNA
Rfam family: Bacterial small subunit ribosomal RNA
Source: RNAcentral